GAUUAGUUAACAAUGUUUCUUUCGUCUACAGGAUAAAUUUGGUGGCUUCCACGUAUGCAUCGCAAGCUGUUUCCUGCAAAAUUUCUGCAGACAGAAUGAAACAAGGCAAUUACAGACUCACAGUUGGCAGAAACUAACAACAACACUCGCGUGCACAUAUUACCCUUGAUUCGGGAAGGAUGACUGCAUAGACAGAAAAGAUUAAUUUCUUGGAGAUUCCUCAUGUUUUCCAUCCUUUUUUUUCGUCAAGGUUCAUUGCAUGCCUAGGCCUGAAACCGUAACCAGAAAAAAGAGGCAAAAAUUGGCCUGCAGUGUCAGAUUCGCUAUCUGUUAUGUAUUAAAGACUAGGAUAAGAAAAUGACUGACACUAGCUAAUCUCGUGCAAAUGCUGCAAUCAAGCACCAUGUUCACAAUAAAGUUGAAUAACUAAACACUUCAUGGAAAAGAAUUAGUGAUGCCAUCUUUUCCAAACCAUCACUGUGGCCGAAUAAGUGUAAUCAGAGAAUGGAAUAUCAUGUCAACUUCCUGAAACUGUUAUCCGUGCCAUUUUACCAAGGACAAAGUACAAUGUCUUAGGAUCUUUUUCAGGCAAGGGGAAGGUAAAACUACAGUUUUGUUUGCGAUUUUCGGUUAAAACCACAGUUGUCUGUUCAUAAAUCUGUUCUCCACAGCAAGCAGAGGUGAAAAAGUAAAGUAAAUGCCUGAUAAGUGGGUGCUAUGAUUGCUGUCUUCCUUAAGAUUAACCCUGUUCUUCAAUCCUCAGUGACCUUGAAAUCCAAUGCAGUUCACUAACCAAUGCAAUCUGCACUUUCGUAUCUGUCCUUAGGACAUGGAAUUCAUCAAAAUGGUCAGGUGAGUCAGGUAUAUCAACAUAGUAGCUAUUUGCCUUAACAAUAUGCUACAGAAGACAUAAACUACAUUUUUCUCACAGCAAAUUACAAAAACUACAUCACAUGUUUUUUAGUUUUAGUUCUCAGCUUGAGAAAGUAACUGGAAAUACCAUGAACAGCAAAUUGAUUUAAUUAUACUCUUCGAGUUAGAAAGAACGCAAAAACCAGUAUGAUUAACCAAAUAAGGACUCUAGUUUUAUUAUGCCAGAGAUUAAAGUUGAAAACAAUUACACGUAGAAAUAAAAUUAUCUUCCACUACUUGUGUGCUUUAUUGCUGAUUUUCAGAUACAAAUCUAUCCUUUAUUUAGUUUUAAGUUGAGAAAUAAGGCAAGAACAGCGGAUAGGAAACCAGAUGCAUAUUGCAUUACACAAAUGCGAGGAAAACAAGAAUAGUAUAUCUUAUCCGCAUCUGAUCUAUUUCUGUGAUGUAGCUACGUAGUUUAAUGAAGAAGAACAGAAAGAAGACGGUGGCCUUCUCGUGGUAUUGCUUAGAGAAUGGAGCUAUGGAAUUCACUAUAAACUAUCUAUUGCAAAAUAGAAAAGCAUAUCCAAAAAUUCUUGAGUUGAAAUAAAAAGGUUGUGCAAAAUUAACAUUGUAACUCAGCGGUUUUGAUGCAAUCUUUAUUUAUCUAUAAUCUUCAAGCAUGUCAAUCUUAACUGAUCUCCACACUUUUUAGCCUAAGUAAUAUUCUGCUCUUUGUUGAGCAAAGAGCACAAGUUCACAAGAAUCGUAGCAGGCAGAAUGCUUUAACAGAUCCUAAUUCCUAACUAUUUAUCUAUUAUGUUCAAGAAUAUCCAUUUUCAGUGAUCUCCACAUAGCCAAAGUAAAUAUUCUGCCCCACUCAAACCUAAAACCUUAAGGUACGACUGAGGCUUACCAGAAUCAUAUAUUAUAUUCCAACGUUGAGGAUGUGAAUGCCAACUGGUAAAAUCUACAGGGAGGUUUCAGAAGGGGUAAGAAGCUAUAAGGUUUCUCAAAGCGGAGGUGCUCAGUUGCUUGAUACUAUUGAGGCUUAGUUGCAGAAUUAUAACCAGCAAGAAACUAUGAGGGUUGUCAAAAGGAGGCCCAGUUACUAUUUUUGUGGCUUAGUUAGAAACUAUAGUGGUCUCAGAAGGAGUUAUUGUGGUCGAUUUAAUUAAGUGAUACAAAAUUUUUGUUGAUAUUGUAUUGAUUUAACAAAUUUUUAAUUGAAUACUAUGUUCUGUCCAGAUAAAUUAUCCUUUGAAGCAUUCUGAAGUGGGUUUGGUUCCUACACUAGAGAGGAACUGAAAAUAAAUUAC
Daucus carota subsp. sativus is the source of this 2171-nucleotide long non-coding RNA. RefSeq lists it as uncharacterized. The record is from RefSeq and is a predicted model, not a curated record. Lineage: Eukaryota; Viridiplantae; Streptophyta; Magnoliopsida; Apiales; Apiaceae. The transcript has 3 exons.